GAUGAACGCUAGCGGCAGGCCUAAUACAUGCAAGUCGAGGGGUAGAAGAGGCUUGCUUCUUUGAGACCGGCGCACGGGUGCGUAACGCGUAUGCAACCUACCUUCAUCUGGGGGAUAGCCCGGAGAAAUCCGGAUUAAUACCGCAUAAAAUCACAGGAUGGCAUUAUCCAAUGAUCAAACAUUUAUGGGAUGGAGAUGGGCAUGCGUGUCAUUAGCUAGUUGGCGGGGUAACGGCCCACCAAGGCGACGAUGACUAGGGGAUCUGAGAGGAUGGCCCCCCACACUGGUACUGAGACACGGACCAGACUCCUACGGGAGGCAGCAGUAAGGAAUAUCGGUCAAUGGAGGCAACUCUGAACCAGCCAUGCCGCGUGCAGGAAGACUGCCCUAUGGGUUGUAAACUGCUUUUAUUCGGGAAUAAACCUUAUUACGUGUAAUAAGCUGAAUGUACCGAAGGAAUAAGGAUCGGCUAACUCCGUGUCAGCAGCCGCCGUAA
This 496-nucleotide ribosomal RNA is filed under the name uncultured bacterium. Its description in RNAcentral is "partial 16S ribosomal RNA". It matches the Rfam family "Bacterial small subunit ribosomal RNA", at positions 28 to 523 of the family's 1533-position model. The record is from RNAcentral.